Molecule: ribosomal RNA, 995 nt
Filed under: uncultured bacterium
Lineage: Bacteria
Description: bacterial SSU rRNA
Rfam family: Bacterial small subunit ribosomal RNA
Source: RNAcentral
UGGGGAAUAUUGCACAAUGGGGGAAACCCUGAUGCAGCGACGCCGCGUGGAGGAAGAAGGUCUUCGGAUUGUAAACUCCUGUUGUUGAGGAAGAUAAUGACGGUACUCAACAAGGAAGUGACGGCUAACUACGUGCCAGCAGCCGCGGUAAAACGUAGGUCACAAGCGUUGUCCGGAAUUACUGGGUGUAAAGGGAGCGCAGGCGGGAAGACAAGUUGGAAGUGAAAUCCAUGGGCUCAACCCAUGAACUGCUUUCAAAACUGUUUUUCUUGAGUAGUGCAGAGGUAGGCGGAAUUCCCGGUGUAGCGGUGGAAUGCGUAGAUAUCGGGAGGAACACCAGUGGCGAAGGCGGCCUACUGGGCACCAACUGACGCUGAGGCUCGAAAGUGUGGGUAGCAAACAGGAUUAGAUACCCUGGUAGUCCACACCGUAAACGAUGAUUACUAGGUGUUGGAGGAUUGACCCCUUCAGUGCCGCAGUUAACACAAUAAGUAAUCCACCUGGGGAGUACGACCGCAAGGUUGAAACUCAAAGGAAUUGACGGGGGCCCGCACAAGCAGUGGAGUAUGUGGUUUAAUUCGACGCAACGCGAAGAACCUUACCAAGUCUUGACAUCCUGCGACGGAUAUAGAAAUAUGUCUUUCCUUCGGGACGCAGAGACAGGUGGUGCAUGGUUGUCGUCAGCUCGUGUCGUGAGAUGUUGGGUUAAGUCCCGCAACGAGCGCAACCCUUAUGGUCAGUUACUACGCAAGAGGACUCUGGCCAGACUGCCGUUGACAAAACGGAGGAAGGUGGGGAUGACGUCAAAUCAUCAUGCCCUUUAUGACCUGGGCUACACACGUACUACAAUGGCGUUAAACAAAGAGAAGCAAGACCGCGAGGUGGAGCAAAACUCAAAAAUAACGUCUCAGUUCAGAUUGCAGGCUGCAACUCGCCUGCAUGAAGUCGGAAUUGCUAGUAAUCGCGGAUCAGCAUGCCGCGGUGAAUACGUUCCC